RNAcentral lists this ribosomal RNA (426 nucleotides) under uncultured soil bacterium. RNAcentral's name for it is "bacterial SSU rRNA". It matches the Rfam family "Bacterial small subunit ribosomal RNA", at positions 355 to 774 of the family's 1533-position model. The record is from RNAcentral.
UCGAGAAUUUUUCUCAAUGGGCGCAAGCCUGAAGGAGCGACGCCGCGUGGGGGAUGAAGGGUUUCGAUCCGUAAACCCCUGUCAUUUGUGAACAAUGGUUAUUAUUUAAAAGAUGAUGACUUGAUAGUAAUGAAAGAGGAAGGGACGGCUAACUCUGUGCCAGCAGCCGCGGUAAUACAGAGGUCCCGAGCGUUGUUCGGAUUCACUGGGCGUAAAGGGUGCGUAGGUGGCAUGUUAAGUUUGAUGUGAAAGCUCAGGGCUUAACCCUGAAAUGGCAUUGAAUACUAGCGUGCUGGAGGUUUGGAGGGGGGACUGGAAUUCUCGGUGUAGCAGUGAAAUGCGUAGAUAUCGAGAGGAACACCAGUGGCGAAGGCGAGUCCCUGGACAACACCUGACACUGAGGCACGAAAGCCGGGGGAGCAAACA